Molecule: ribosomal RNA, 483 nt
Filed under: uncultured bacterium
Lineage: Bacteria
Description: partial 16S ribosomal RNA
Rfam family: Bacterial small subunit ribosomal RNA
Source: RNAcentral
GACGAACGCUGGCGGCGUGCUUAACACAUGCAAGUCGAACGAUGAAGCUGGAGCUUGCUCCAGUGGAUUAGUGGCGAACGGGUGAGUAACACGUGAGCAAUCUGCCCUUGACUCUGGGAUAACUGCGGGAAACUGUAGCUAAUACCGGAUACGACACCUUGGGGCAUCCCGGGGUGUGGAAAGAAUUUCGGUCAAGGAUGAGCUCGCGGCCUAUCAGCUUGUUGGUGAGGUAAAGGCUCACCAAGGCGACGACGGGUAGCCGGCCUGGGAGGGUGACCGGCCACACUGGAACUGGGACACGGUCCAGACUCCUACGGGAGGCAGCAGUGGGGAAUAUUGCACAAUGGGCGAAAGCCUGAUGCAGCAACGCCGCGUGAGGGAUGACGGCCUUCGGGUUGUAAACCUCUUUUAGCAGGGAAGAAGCGAAAGUGACGGUACCUGCAGAAAAAGCACCGGCUAACUACGUGCCAGCAGCCGCCGUAA